GAUGGACGCUAGCGAUAGGCUUAACACAUGCAAGUCGAGGGCAGGCUUGUCUUUGGUUUCCUAGACUGGAUGGCAACGGCCCCAGGGGGGGUAAAGGGGUUGGAACCUUGCCCCACAGGGGGGGUUAACCCUCGAAAGAACGGAUAAUACCCCCUACCACUUGGGAUGGGGCUUCUUACCCAAGGAAAAUAAAUUUGCCGUUGGAUAGGCAUGCGUCCCAUUAGCUAGUUGGCGAGGUAACGGCUCACCAAGGCGACGAUGGGUAGGGGAACUGAGAGGUUGAACCCCCGCACUGGUACUGAGACACGGACCAGACUCCUACGGGAGGCAGCAGUGAGGAAUAUUGGUCAAUGGGCGAGAGCCUGAACCAGCCAAGUCGCGUGAAGGAUGACUGUCUUAUGGAUUGUAAACUUCUUUUAUACGGGAAUAACAAGAGCCACGUGUGGCUCCCUGCAUGUACCGUAUGAAUAAGCAUCGGCUAACUCCGUG
RNAcentral lists this ribosomal RNA (489 nucleotides) under uncultured bacterium. Its description in RNAcentral is "partial 16S ribosomal RNA". It matches the Rfam family "Bacterial small subunit ribosomal RNA", at positions 28 to 507 of the family's 1533-position model. The record is from RNAcentral.